This 21-nucleotide small RNA is filed under the name Arabidopsis thaliana (thale cress). RNAcentral's name for it is "ATSL189850". Lineage: Eukaryota; Viridiplantae; Streptophyta; Magnoliopsida; Brassicales; Brassicaceae. The record is from RNAcentral.
UUUAGAACAUUUGAAGAGAGA